GACGAACGCUGGCGGCGUGCUUAACACAUGCAAGUCGAACGGACAGGCCCUGCUUUUGUGGGGUGCUCGAGUGGCGAACGGGUGAGUAACACGUGAGUAACAUGCCCUUGACUUUGGGAUAACUUCAGGAAACUGGGGCUAAUACCGGAUAGGAGCUCCUGCUGCAUGGUGGGGGUUGGAAAGUUUCGGCGGUUGGGGAUGGACUCGCGGCUUAUCAGCUUGUUGGUGGGGUAGUGGCUUACCAAGGCUUUGACGGGUAGCCGGCCUGAGAGGGUGGCCGGCCACAUUGGGACUGAGAUACGGCCCAGACGCCUACGGGAGGCAGCAGUCGGGAAUAUUGCACAAUGGGCGGAAGCCUGAUGCAGCAACGCCGCGUGCGGGAUGACGGCCUUCGGGUGGUAAACCGCUGUCGCCGGUGACGAAGCGUGAGUGACGGUAAUUGGUAAAGAAGCACCGGCUAACUACGUG
RNAcentral lists this ribosomal RNA (468 nucleotides) under uncultured bacterium. Its description in RNAcentral is "partial 16S ribosomal RNA". It matches the Rfam family "Bacterial small subunit ribosomal RNA", at positions 28 to 507 of the family's 1533-position model. The record is from RNAcentral.